This 641-nucleotide ribosomal RNA is filed under the name uncultured bacterium. RNAcentral's name for it is "bacterial SSU rRNA". It matches the Rfam family "Bacterial small subunit ribosomal RNA", at positions 1 to 618 of the family's 1533-position model. The record is from RNAcentral.
CGCGAAUGCUCUAGAUUAGACGUUGAUCAUGGCUCAGAUUGAACGCUGGCGUGCAAGCCUAACACAUGCAAGUCGAGCGGUAACACAGGGAGCUUGCUCCUGGGUGACGAGCGGCGGACGGGUGAGUAAUGUCUGGGAAACUGCCUGAUGGAGUGGGGAUAACUACUGGAAACGGUAGCUAAUACCGCAUAACGUCUUCGGACCAAAGUGGGGGACCUUCGGGCCUCAUGCCAUCAGAUGUGCCCAGAUGGGAUUAGCUAGUAGGUGGGGUAACGGCUCACCUAGGCGACGAUCCCUAGCUGGUCUGGGAGGAUGACCAGACCACACUGGAACUGAGACACGGUCCAGACUCCUACGGGAGGCAGCAGUGGGGAAUAUUGCACAAUGGGCGCAAGCCUGAUGCAGCCAUGCCGCGUGUAUGAAGAAGGCCCUACGGGUUGUAAAGUACUUUCAGCGAGGAGGAAGGCAAUAAGGUUAAUAACCUUAGUGAUUGACGUUACUCGCAGAAGAAGCACCGGCUAACUCCGUGCCAGCAGCCGCGGUAAUACGGAGGGUGCAAGCGUUAAUCGGAAUUACUGGGCGUAAAGCGCACGCAGGCGGUCUGUCAAGUCGGAUGUGAAAUCCCCNGGGCUCCACCUGGG